RNAcentral lists this ribosomal RNA (253 nucleotides) under uncultured bacterium. RNAcentral describes it as "partial 16S ribosomal RNA". It matches the Rfam family "Bacterial small subunit ribosomal RNA", at positions 524 to 776 of the family's 1533-position model. The record is from RNAcentral.
UACGGAGGGUGCGAGCGUUGUCCGGAAUCAUUGGGCGUAAAGGGCGCGUAGGUGGCUUCUUAAGCGUGCGGUGAAAGCCUGGGGCUCAACCCCGGGUCGGCCGUGCGAACUGGGGGGCUGGAGCACUGUAGAGGCAGGCGGAAUUCCGGGUGUAGCGGUGGAAUGCGUAGAGAUCCGGAAGAACACCGGUGGCGAAGGCGGUUCUCUGGGCCUGUACUGACGCUGAGGAGCGAAAGCGUGGGGAGCGAACAGG